Molecule: ribosomal RNA, 318 nt
Filed under: Mycobacterium tuberculosis
Lineage: Bacteria; Bacillati; Actinomycetota; Actinomycetes; Mycobacteriales; Mycobacteriaceae
Description: bacterial SSU rRNA
Rfam family: Bacterial small subunit ribosomal RNA
Source: RNAcentral
CCUACAGAAGAAGCCCCGGCUAACUCCGUGCCAGCAGCCGCGGUAAUACGGAGGGGGCUAGCGUUGUUCGGAAUUACUGGGCGUAAAGCGCACGUAGGCGGCUAUCCAAGUUGGGGGUGAAAUCCCUGGGCUUAACCCAGGAACUGCCUUCAAAACUGGAUGGCUAGAGUCCGAGAGAGGUGAGUGGAAUUUCCAGUGUAGAGGUGAAAUUCGUAGAUAUUGGAAAGAACACCAGUGGCGAAGGCGGCUCACUGGCUCGGUACUGACGCUGAGGUGCGACAGCGUGGGGAGCAAACAGGAUUAGAUACCCGUGUAGUC